This 421-nucleotide unclassified non-coding RNA is filed under the name soil metagenome. RNAcentral's name for it is "partial contains 5.8S ribosomal RNA, internal transcribed spacer 2, and large subunit ribosomal RNA". The stretch from base 1 to 120 matches the Rfam family "5.8S ribosomal RNA", at positions 35 to 154 of the family's 154-position model. The record is from RNAcentral.
GAUGAAGAACGCAGCGAAAUGCGAUACGUAAUGUGGAUUGCAGAAUUCAGUGAAUCAUCGAAUCUUUGAACGCAUAUUGCGCUCUUUGGUAUUCCGAAGAGCAUGCUUGUUUGAGUAUCAGUAAACACCUCAACCUCUUCUUGAUUUUUCAAAAGGAGGGUGGACUUGAGCUAUCCCAACAACCUUUACCGGUCGGCGGGCGGCUUGAAAUGCAGGUGCAGCUGGACUUUUAUCUGAGCUAAAAGCAUAUCUAUUUAGUCCUCGUCAAACAGGAUUAUUACUUUUGCUGCAGCUAACAUAAAGGAUAAUUGUCCUCUUUGCUGACUGAUGCAGGAUUUUACGACACUUUAUGUGUUGUUCAACUCGAUCUCAAAUCAAGUAAGACUACCCGCUGAACUUAAGCAUAUCAAUAAGCGGAGGA